RNAcentral lists this ribosomal RNA (253 nucleotides) under uncultured bacterium. RNAcentral describes it as "partial 16S ribosomal RNA". It matches the Rfam family "Bacterial small subunit ribosomal RNA", at positions 524 to 776 of the family's 1533-position model. The record is from RNAcentral.
UACGAAGGGAGCUAGCGUUGUUCGGAAUCACUGGGCGUAAAGCGCACGUAGGCGGAUGUGUCAGUCAGGGGUGAAAUCCCGGAGCUCAACUUCGGAACUGCCUUUGAUACAGCACGUCUUGAGUCCGAUAGAGGUGGGUGGAAUUCCUAGUGUAGAGGUGAAAUGCGUAGAGAUCAGGAAGAACACCCGUGGCGCAAGCGACCACCUGGCCGAGACCUGACGCUGAGGCACGAGAGCGUGGGGAGCGAACCGG